This 5752-nucleotide long non-coding RNA is filed under the name Malus domestica (apple). Its description in RNAcentral is "long non-coding RNA (MDOM_LNC007009)". Lineage: Eukaryota; Viridiplantae; Streptophyta; Magnoliopsida; Rosales; Rosaceae. The record is from RNAcentral.
UCGAUACAAAAAGUUGUGUCGGUUCUCUUUCAUUUUUUUCACCUCCGCCGUGAAUCUGCAAAGAAAACCCAGGAACCAAACAACCCAACACCCACACUCAGAGACACACCCAUUCAAUUUACAGAGAGAAAGAAAAAAAAACUCAAACACAAUACUCUCUCUCAUAUCCAAAUCUCUCAUUCUCUCACAGAGAGCGCACCAAAACUCAAAAAAGGCGUAUUUUAAGCCCAGGUACGAAUAAAACUGCCUGACAUGUGCUCACAAUUAACAUCACCUCACGCCCACAGUUCUGUUUUUACAAGUAGUGAUCGGAGGCAAAAUGCUUUGGUACGACACCUCACUGCGGAAGAAGAUCAAUCAUCCUCCGCCAUGGAUGCUCACAACAACUCCACCUCUGCCUCGCCAGCUUCCAGCUCCACGACCUUGACUCGGUCGAGUUACCGCUGAGUCUAACAGAGUUGGACCCUCGGAUUGCGACCCUCUCCAACCCGUCUGAACCUCAUCGAAGAUGUCGCCGUCGAAACGAUGUCAGGGUAGGACGCCCUCUCCGGUCUCUAUAACCCAUUUCAUUCUCUCUCUCCUGCAAUCUCUAUGAAUUAAAAGGGAGUAAAAGAUGAGUAGUCGAUCGAGUCACACCUAUCUACGUCGGCAAUCUACCUGGAGAUAUUCGUAUGAGAGAAGUUGAAGAUUUGUUCUUAAAUUAUGAGCCUAUUGUUGACAGUGAUCUCAAAAUCCCUCCAAGACCGCCAGGUUAUGCUUCUGUUGAGUAUGAAGAUCCUCGUGAUGCUGAUGAUGCAAUUUAUGGUCGGGAUGGGUACGACUUUGAUGGGUUUCGUUUACGAGUUAAACUAGCACAUGGCGGACGGCACUCCUCGUCACAUCGUUCCAGCAGUUACAGUCGUAGUAGCAACAGCCGUGGUGCUUCUCGGCGCUCUGACUAUCGUGGGAUGGUCACUAGAUUGCCUCCUGCUGCUUCGUGGCAGGAUCUGAAGGGAAAAGCUCUGAUUGCUUGGAGUCUUCUAUUUUUUGAUCAAGAAUAAGCCUAGAGGAGAAGCUGCAGGCAGGUAUAGACUACGCUUGCGGUGAGGGCGUGGCAGACUGCCAUCAGAUCGAGCCGAGGUCUGUGUGUUACGAUCCUAACACCCUCGAGGCCCACGCAUCAUACGCCUUCAACAGUUACUACCAGAAGAAGGCACGUGGAGUCGGUAUGUGCUAUUUUGGCAAGGCAGCCUACGUGGUCUCUCAACCACCCAUCCAGAUAUCCAGAAGGCAUACCUUUGGUUACUACAUUUGUUCACCCCUCAAUGAUUAAGAUGCUUGAUGCUGCUACAGAAGAUGCUCUCGAACGUGAUAACUGGAGCCAUUCAGAAAGGCAUCAAGUUCGGAAAAAGAUAAAGACUCUCAUCAUAAAGGAGCGCAUGUUCCUACUCUUCACAGACGACACCAUGAUGUUAAGGGAAAAGAGAAAGCAAAAGCAGAAAGCAAAAGAGAAAUCAAAAGCAGAAAGCAAAAGAGAAAGCAAAAGCAAUGAAUAAACACCCCACCAGAAUGAUAUGAUUUGCUUUUCUUGUUUUUGUAUAAUGUGAUUUAUUUUUCUUAUCUUUCAGAGACAUCUAUAUAAACCCCAUCAGAAGGUAAUAAAAAAAAUUUAAAAAUUAAAAUAAAAUAAAAGGGCAAAGCCCAAAAUAAAUGGGCUGGAAUGUUGUGUGGAGAGUGAAGGCCCAUAUGCCCAAAAGAGCUAGGCCCUCUAUUAUCACCAACCAGGUGACCAAAAGUACGCCUAGUACUCCAAAAUUAUUCGGCAACCUGCUGCUAUUAGCACCAACCAGGUGAUCAAAAGUACGCCCAGUACUCCAAAAUUAUUCGGCAACCCGCCGCUAUUACCACCAACCAGGUGAUGAAAUGUACAACCCGUACUCUAAUAUCAUUUAGCAACUAGCCAUUCAUGCCACCAACCAAGUGAUGAAAUGUACAACUCGUACUCUCCUUCAUGCCACCAACCAGGUGACCAAAAGUACGCCCAGUACUCCAAAUUAUACAUGAGCAUUACUCAUGUCAUUCAUACAUAAACAUUCAUAAGCAUCACUCAUGACAAUCAUACAUAAACAUUCAUGACCAUCAUUCAUGUCAACAUUCAUGAGCAUCACUCAUGUUAACAUUCAUGAGCAUCACUCAUGUUAACAUCCAUGAGCAUCAGUCAUGACAACAUCCAUGAGCAUCAUUCAUGUCAAUCAACAUAAACAUUCAUGAGCAUCACUCAUGUCAAUCAGCUUCAAAAGCUUCAUUUACAUAACUCUAGCUUAAAAGCUUCAUUUACAGAUCUCUAGCUUCAAAAGCUUCAUUUACAAAAACUCCAGCUUCGAAAGCUUCAUUUAUAGAGCUCUAGCUUCAAAGCUUCACUUGCAAAGUUUCACCUACAAAGCUUCAGUGCAGGGCAUACAAAUACCGCCUCCGAACAACCGCCACCUCGGCCCAUACAUGGAUUCAAUUUAAAGUCUCCAGCCAACAGACUCUAUUGACCGAAGACUUGGGGGACUACAUUAUGUACCAUAUAUUGGGCCUCAUCUGAGCCUCAUGAAAAAUACUUAGGGGACUUAGCCCAUUAUUUAUGUAUUAAGGAGCGAGCCUUUAUUCUAUAAAAGGGACUCCCUCACUUUCAUUAGAGAGCACCCAAUAUUCAUGUACUGAAGAGCGAGCCCUUAUUUUAUAAAAGGGACUCCCUCACCUUCAUUAGAGAGCAACGCCGCCAGCUGAGCAACCGCCUCGCUGCCAGCAUCACUCCUAGCCCAUCACUUAUGUAUUGAGGAGCGAGCCCUUAUUCUAUAAAAUGGACUCCCUCACCUUCAUUAGAGAGCAACGCCGCCAGCUGAGCAACCGCCUCGCUGCGAGCAUCACUCCUACCCCAUCACUUAUGUAUUGAGAAGCAAGCCCUUAUUCUAUAAAUGGACUCUCUCACCAUCAUUAGAGAGUAUCAACUCUAGCCCAUCAUUCAUGUAUUAAGGAGCCGAGCCCUUAUUCUAUAAAACUCCCUCACCUUCAAAUGCCACAAGCCGAGCCAACCAAGGCAACAUAAGCCACGAGCCGAGCAGCCUCGCAGCAUAUGCUACUUCUAGUUGAGCAUCAUUUCAGAUUGAGCACCGCCUCAUAUCGAACAUCAGUUGAAGACGACAUCUAGUUACUUCGGCCCACACAUGGACUGAAUUUCAAGUCUCCAGCCAAAAGACUCUCUUGACUGGAGACUUAGGCGACUACUGUUUAUACCAUACUUAGGGCCUCCAUAUUUAGAUCUCGUACAAAUACUCGGGGGACUUAAAUGUAAUUAUGUAAUAAAGGAAUGGGCAAAUAUGUAAUAAGUGAGGAGCCCUUAUUUUAUAAAAUGACCCCUCACCCUCACAAUUAGGGGAGGCCAUUUCCUAGGCCUGAGGUCUCUCAUAUUCAGAAGAAGCCUCCUCACCCCCAGAGGCUUCACUCUCACCUCACAAACUCUCUCUCCCUCUCAGAAAUACAAUAUCAAUGUGGACGUAGCCCAAACCUUGGGGUGAACCACGAUACAUCUUGUGUUAUUUACUUUACUUGCAGAUUCACGGUCGGAUUUACGUUGUUCCAAGACCUCUGAUUUUGUGCAUCAACAAAAUACAUAAUAAUUCACCGUCAUUCUACGUAGUACUUCGUAUUUAUGCAUGUUAUACGGUACCAACAAAUAAACACAAAAUUGGUGUGUUUUUUUGUUUGAAAUCCGCAUUACAUACAAAAGUUGUGCUCAUCAACUUAAUAAUCCUGCAAUCUGACCAGUUGUCGCUCUGUCUAAACAAUAUACUAGAAUUCAAAAUUAGCAAGCCAGCGUGAUACUUAAAAUAGGGCACAGAAAGCAGAAACCCUACUCUUCCUCUUCUACAUAUAUAUGCUUCUUCAGUAUACAAGACCAUAACAAAAGUUAAACCAUAUAAGGACAACGGUUAAUGCCUAGAACAUGCCACUGUGAACAUUAAACAACAACAUACUAAAUAUAGGUAAAAACAAGACUAAGAAUAUGCAACUAUUGUAAAAGACACAACCAAAACGAAUGCUAGCUAGCUAGCUAGGGAUGGGAAAAAUUAAUAUUCAAAUGUUGUUAGCUAGUUAGAACUUUGAACUCACCUAUUUGCCCUCUUCGAAUGCAACAAAAAUGCAUGUAUUAUUGAGAGAGAUAUGCUAGUCAAAAAGCAGAAGGAAGUGGGUGGGUGGGUGGGGGGAGGGGAGGGUGGGGUGGAGAGAUUCUGUGGUUCGGAACCGGACCACAUGUUUCCAACAGCUAUAGACUCAAAAACAACCUCAUAUCCCACCCCCUGCUAUUGAAGCCCACCGCUAUCCCCACCUGGUCUCACCACCCCCCCUUCCUUCUCUCUCUCUCUCUCUCUCUCUCACAAACACCCUACUCUGGCUCCCGCACCGAAGAGUCUCUCAACGGGGUUGGGGGUGAUGAAAGAAGGAGAGCUAGCGAUCUAUUUUUCUACGUCUAGGAAAGGCUGCAAGAACUUUCUUCCUUCUAAGCCUUCACUUUCCUUUUUUGGUAAACUAAGGCUUCACUUUCCUUGUAUGGAUAAGUUGGUAAACGAAGAAAAAAAAAAAGAAAAAGGAGAGAAAAACCAUACAUUAAAAGUGGAAAAAAUAAUGGAAAAAUAAAUAAACCUUUAUCGUGUAGAGUGUUGGAAGCAACAAGUGUGGGAAUCCUAUUGUCAGAAAUAUUGAGCCUUUUGUUUUGUGCAGUGAUCAGAGGCCUCAGUCCCUUCCUCCUGUGCCUUCUUGUGGUUUAAUUUGCUUGCCCCUUCCUGUUUGUAUGUUUCUUUGUGUCUCACGGUUAGAUUGAUAGAUUCUACUCCAACCCUUGUGUUCUUUAUACUAAUUUACAUGGACGGUACUAGUACAUGGUCUCGCUCUGUACUCUAUUCUAUUGCACAAACACAGACAUUUGAUCAUAAUAAUAUUGAGAUUUUUCUAUAAUUUAUAGAUUUUGUAUCUUAUCCAAGCGUGAUUAUAGCUGUUUGAUUGACUGAUUAAUCAUCCUUACUUUGUAUUACUUUUGGGUUAUACAACUUGUUUUGUACGAUUGUAAAGUAAUUAAGUAGGAUCUCUUGUGUCGACUUAUUACUUUUCGGAUCACACAAGAAGAUAUUUCUCAUAAAUUCUCUCAAAUAAUUGAAUUGGAAUGAAAGAAAUAGGUUUUACAGCAAACCAAUCUAUAAACUGAUGUGGUUCUUCAUUGUAGUUCUUUACUAUAAACUGAUGUCACUUUUUUUUAAGAUCAGACAUUUUAGCGAAUAAAUGUACGUAUUUUUCUAAAUGAAACUCUAUCACAUGAAUUAUUUACUUCUUCCUUUAAUUAUAGCAAUUAGAUUGCUUUUUCAUAAUUCCGUAUUAGGAUAUAUGAAUCGGUCAUAAUUUAUCAUAAUACUUUGGCAUUAUAUAAUUAAUAUUGUUUGUGAAUGCGUUUUUAAUUGUUGGAUACCGAAUACACACUUCAUUACUUUUGCACUAUAGAAUUUGUACUGAAAGUAAACACAGUUGUAGUCGCACGAUCGACCGACCAAACUUACACAUUCAAAAAACUAAAAAUAAACUGGAACCGCCCUUGACAUUGAUAUUAGCUCAAGUAAUUAAUUAAAGUAAUUAGUGGUGGCAUGGAGUUGAGUGGGUGGGAUUAAUUUGUAAGCUUGUGAGGAUCAUUGAUCAGUGCUUCUAUACGCCUCGAACUACACGCACACUUACACACAUA